GACCGCGUAGUUCAGUUGGCAGAGCAUUGGACUAGUAUUCCAAAGGUCGUAGGUUCGAUUCCCACCGUGGCCA
Molecule: transfer RNA, 73 nt
Filed under: Paramuricea clavata
Lineage: Eukaryota; Metazoa; Cnidaria; Anthozoa; Malacalcyonacea; Plexauridae
Rfam family: tRNA
About the family: Transfer RNA (tRNA) molecules are approximately 80 nucleotides in length. Their secondary structure includes four short double-helical elements and three loops (D, anti-codon, and T loops).
Source: Rfam by way of RNAcentral